This 425-nucleotide ribosomal RNA is filed under the name uncultured bacterium. RNAcentral's name for it is "partial 16S ribosomal RNA". It matches the Rfam family "Bacterial small subunit ribosomal RNA", at positions 354 to 796 of the family's 1533-position model. The record is from RNAcentral.
GUAGGGAAUCUUGCGCAAUGGGCGAAAGCCUGACGCAGCCAUGCCGCGUGAAUGAUGAAGGUCUUAGGAUUGUAAAAUUCUUUCACCGGGGACGAUAAUGACGGUACCCGGAGAAGAAGCUCCGGCUAACUUCGUGCCAGCAGCCGCGGUAAUACGAAGGGGGCUAGCGUUGCUCGGAAUUACUGGGCGUAAAGGGCGCGUAGGCGGACAGCUUAGUCAGAGGUGAAAGCCCAGGGCUCAACCUUGGAAUUGCCUUUGAUACUGGCUGUCUUGAGUUUGGGAGAGGUGAGUGGAACUCCGAGUGUAGAGGUGAAAUUCGUAGAUAUUCGGAAGAACACCAGUGGCGAAGGCGACUCACUGGCCCAAUACUGACGCUGAGGCGCGAAAGCGUGGGGAGCAAACAGGAUUAGAAACCCGUGUAGUCC